GAGGGAACUGAAGCAUUGUUCUGGACCCAUGGAAAUAAAAUGAGGGAAAGCACAGCUAGGAAGACAAGAGCAGCCCAGAAAUCUGCUGCUUUUAUAAUGCUGUGGGAGCAGCCAACAUGAAUUAGGAGGAAGAUCAAUGCGUCUCCUGCACACCUCACACACACACAGUCAGCCUGACUGGGCAGUGUAGGUUGGGAGUGUUGGGUUCAGUUCGGACCCAAACCAGCCGACCCUAUUGCUGCCUCAUCCCGGGGAUGGUGAUAGAGAAGGAUCCGAAGGAAAGGUCUCUCUGAUGUUCUACUCGAGAGAAAGUUGGAGCAACUGCUCGAGCAGAUGCGUGGACUGAGCUACCACGUUGAGAAGGCGAUGGAAGCGGAGCACAUGUUGCGAGGAGAGCAACCAGGGCACGGCUCGCCGCGGGGCCGGGGCUGCGCCUGGAAAGUCCUUCACGGAUAAGGAGAAAGCAAGGAGGGCCACGGGGGCUCUGAGGGGACCGAGGGGUCAGCGGCCACGGGGACACCGGCGUGUUUCGGCGCUGAGGGGACGGCCGGGAUAGAAAACAAAGCCGUAACUCAGCGUUGGAUGCUUCCAAUUAAUAUGAAUGCGUUCAUGAAAAUGCAAAAGGAGGAAUAAAUCCAGCAGAAGUUUUUAUUGCAUUUAAACAUCCACCUCCAGGACUGGAAACUCACACGCAGUGGGAUGGCAUGAAUUCAUGAGAACUGGUGAAAGAAGCCUGAAGCUGCAAGUGCAUAGACAUAGCUCAAGUCCUGAAAGGAUUUAAACAGAUCUUAAACCCUAAACCUGCGAAUAUUCUUACUGGUCCCAGUGGGGAAACAAUACAGAAUCCAUCCUUGCUGGAGGAAGGACAUGGCCAGCUCUUGGUGUAACACCUAAGUCAAGAAGGUUCUCGCUAUAUCUGGAACUCUGAGAAGUUUUCACAAUAUAACCAGGUGACAUCCAGAGCUCUCUUCUGUGAGUGUAUUCCCUGCUGAUGACUUUACUGGACUGCUCAUCUACAAAGUGGAACACCAUCAAUAUUCAACCGUUGUCCUAAGUUGAACCUGGACUGAAAAGUCCUGGGAUCAGAAAAAGAUGCUGUGAUAGCUCAUAGCAUCAUCAAGUCUCUGAAAGUGUGGUGCUGUUGUGUCCCUUUUUGGCUGCAUCACUUUUGAAGAGCCAGGAGCUGCUCUCUAUCUCUCUGCAAGCUCACAGCAUAGCAAACAAGCAAGAAAUGUUCAUGGUAUUUCUUCAUGUAGUUGCCUGACACUGUCAGCUGUAGUGGAGGAGCCUCUAAAAUUUGCCUCAGCAGUUGGCAGGUGAUACUGAAGUGGAGGCCUUGGAAGAGAGAAAACACUGCACCAGAUGAAUUAAUUGAUGGAGAUACAACAAAAAGCUGAAGCCCUUUGCUCUCGCCACACAGGUUUGUGAGCAUUGCUCCACUUUCUAGUCUGUAUGUCAUCCCACUCACCACUGAGUGCACUCAUCGGACAGAGGAUGUCUCCCUCAUGUAGAGCUCACGUGAUGUAACUCUGAGUAUACGGCUGAUUUACAAGGAGAUGGAUGCUGCAGUGGAGUCCUUGAUAAAGACCCUGAAAGGAUGCUUCAUAUUGUUUAGCUGUGGACUGAUUUGGAGGUAAAAAAGUGGUGCACCCAAAACCGACUGUGAUUGCUUUCUCUGGAUCUGCCUCGUUCUGGGACACAAUCUCUCCUGUGAGGCCCUCGUCCUGCUGGGUUAUCACUCUUGGUUCCUGGCUCUCGGUGCCUCAGGAAGCAGCUGGUCCACUCUGCUCCCUGACAAAGGCAUUUUAUAGCUCAUGCUGUUGCCUGACAGCUGCCUACUACAACGUGGAACAGGACCAACUUUUCACAAAGACUCCCAAACCCCCAUUAGGAGGUGAGCAAAUUUUCAUUACUUGAGAUGUGGCUGUAAGACAGUGCACCUGAAAAGCUUUUAGGAGAUAUUCUUGAAACAUGAAGUAGAAAAAAAUAGCAACAGGGUUUAUUUAUUUUUGUUUGGUUCUUUGUCUCGCUCCAAUUGCCUUGGGGACCCAGUUUGCAGUUUGGCUCACAAUGAGUAAAAGCAGCCCAGUGAGGGUGCAAACCAACUGGUAAGAAGAUGGAAGUGAGCAGUGAGGGAACAUGAACCAGCUUUGGAGCUGCAGACAAUGCCACAUGCAGCUGUGAUUUUUGCUUAGAUGUAGCUGAUACAGCUAUCACAUCUGAAACACUGGUCACGGGGAGGAUUACUGAAUACCCAGCAGGUAAAGAAUCAAAACACCAACAAAAAUCUACCAGGUUUAACUCCUAAGGCUUGCUGAUUUUGACUGCAGUUGCUAAGAUGUGAUGUAAAGUUAUCCAAGAGCUAUUAGCAGCGAGGUAAGGCAGCACUGUGCUUCAGCACACCCUCACCUCACCUGAUUCUUGGGCUGUUUUCUAAUAAGUGCACAAAAUGGUGAUGAUUUUAAUCUGGGAUAUUAAUGCAUUAACUUGAUGCCACUCUUCUAUCCCAACAACCUUUUCUACUUUCUUGCGUUGUGUCCGCUCCGCUGUCUCUCCAUUUCAAACACACAGAAGUACAGUAAUUCACACAAUCUUCCUGCUCACUCUGUUAACACACAUGUAUGCUUCCUGCUUAAAACUGCAACACAGGCUCAUCUGUUUCAUGAGACAGAGCUCCUUUAAAAAUAGCAGCCUGUGUCUGGGAACAGUGCCUGCCUUCCCCUGCCAUAGGAUACUCAUGAACGUUGCAUUUCCCUAUUGUGUUAACAUGAGGCUUUUGACCCUGGAGGUGCAGUCAGACUUUAAAUUCUUCACUGAAAUCCCAGCAGCAGCACAACCCUCAUGGUGAGUGCUUUAGUCUUAUAUUUUUAGAAAGGCUGCUUUGAAGAUUCUGUGCCCGUCCUCCUGUGCCCAAGAGUAACACAAGAUAAAUUGUGCUAAGUGAAGGGAGCUGCAGAUCCCAAAGCAGUCUGUGCCACAGCCAAUCCAGACAUCCCAAACCAGCCCUUCCUUGCUCUUGUCUAAGACAGAUUUUACCAUGGCUGUUGAUUUUUAUAUGGAUGUUUCACUACUCAGACAGACAGCACCACAAAAUACAACUUUCGGAAAAUGAGAUCAUUGAAACUGGAGAUCACUUGGAUAGAAGAUUUGGGGAAAAUGGAAGGAUUGAAUAUGCGUGAUUCCUGUAAUCAUCUGCUUGCUCAAAAUCAAUUUCUCCAACAUGUUAGCAUAGUCUAAAACGGAGAUCAUGUGUGAAGGCCUCCAGGGAGCGCUAAACAAGGCUGUUGGCUUUUUGGGUGUCGUAUAGGGGGUAAGCAAGCAGCUCUCUGCCACUUCUGGUGCUUUUUGUUUUGGGAUCCUUGUGGUCAUGGUUUCAAAACUGCAUUGCAUCAGUACAAUGGAGUCCAAGCAAGCAAGCAAUAUCCAUAAGUUAAACGCAUUCCCUGGCCCUGGGCAGCAACCAGCAGAGAACACUCUACAUUGUAUUAAACUUGGCCUUUGAGAGAGGGGGCCUCAUCCAAAAAAUCUGUUGGGAACAGAUGCUGGUGUGUGUUGACUCCUGUCCCAUCCAGGAAAUGCUUGUUGGCUCAGGCUGGAGAUGUGACCAGCAGCACUCCCUGUUGACAGGAGAGAUGCUUGUACUCUAGCAACAGUUCCUGGCACGCUUUGACUUCUCAGUGUAGGUGAAGCUAAAGAGAGCGAGGAUGUGGCACUGAAGGUCAGACCUCUUCCAUUGGCUCCACUGCAUGGUUUUCAUCUGUCCAAGAGAAAAGAGACCAAAUAUAACUGAUGAAUACUCUGAGAAACUGAAGCAAAGCAAAGAACGGGUAGGAUGUUCAGGCAUGCAGUGCUGCCCUAAGCACUACUUAGGCUGCUGUACAGUUCAACCUGUGCACAGUGCUUGGGAUGGAAACAAUGACAAGCCUCGAAUGUGGAUCCCCACACUUCCCAACUUCAAUAUUUAAUGUAGAUAGCAGAAACACUCCAUGCAAAUAUCAAGAAAGUAUUUCUCUGUAUCCCUUCAUUGUGAGAUAUUCAAGCAUGUACCCUUAGGGACUCUCUGGGCUCAGAACCCUAUUUUUAUGUCAGUGAUUAACUAGACGAAAGUGUUGGAAUCAAGACAACAAAGUGUUUCUGAUGUACUCCUCUUUUCAUCAUUUCCCACCAGCCAACCUGUCCCUGAAGGCCCACGAGCAUUGAACUGAAACUACUGCCCAAAUCAGAAUAGGGAGUUUGAAGAGUCUCAUUGUCCCAACUUUUGCCCCAAGCCUGGAUCCGUGUCUUUCUCACUACACCAUGCAUUGUGCCAGUACCCUGAUCAUUUUAACUCAACGGUCUUCCCAGGUGUAUGGAUUAAGAUCCCAUCUUUCUAGUUUCUUUUGUAUUUUCAUACCCAUCCUUCUACUCGAUUAAGGCAGAUUAAAUCUGCAUAUAUGUUUAUACUUGCUAAACCACAAAUCUUACUGUCAGUUCAGAAAGCUCAGCUUGGAAGUCCAUUGGAGCCUGACACUUUCACAAGACACUUCAUACAAGAUUCUUGGAAAGGUGCUCCUCUAUCCAGCGGAUUAUUGAAUUAAUUGACAGUAGUAAUGCCUUUGCUGUGUAUAGAUGGAAAAAGGAAAGCCAAACAGCUCACUGACUUGGAGCCGAGACAGUCCCCUGAGGAUAUUAAUGUCACCAGUCCAAAAAGGGAUUAUAUAGUCCAAUAAAAAUAGAAACAAAGUCAAUGCCUUGUUUAAAAAGACAAAGAAGGUCAACCAUAACUUGAUCAGGCCAGUUCAGAGAAAGACAGCACAAAGUGAAUUGAAACACAGUCAUCAAGAAUUAACAAAUAACCCUAAGUGAGUGAUUUAUUCUCCUAUUUCUGUUUGUAAUUUGCCCUUGCCCAACAGUUAUUACUCCUUUAUUAUCCUCCCACCCCGAAAUUCCUAUCAAAACACUCCAGGACGUAACCCAUGCCUUCUAGCCUGGCCACAAGCAGUAUAUGCCAGAAGGCAACAUCUGACAUCAAGGAAUCAUCUUCUGUGGAAAGACUGCAGCAGGCUGUUGUGUCCUUCUUGGAAGAGAAUAACUCUUCAGAUGAGUUAUCCUUGUUUACAAAUCUGAAAGGAGCAAUUAGCAGUAAAUAUUCUCUUCUGGGUAAUAAUAUUUUAUGCUUCUAAGAACUAGGCUUAAUUGAAGAACAAGCAUUUGCUUUAUCAUCCAAGCCAUUGGAGCCUGCAGAGGGAGGAGGAGGUUUGUGUGUGAUGCAUUGUGUCAGUUCUUGUGUAAGAUCUAUGCUCUCUUGGCUAAUCCCAAUCACACGUUUAUAGGUUUGAUGUUGUUGUUGGGACUGUUUUGUAAUAUUCAUUAAAAAUGAACAAUUCCAGUCCCUCCUGCAGUUGGUAACACUGCUAUAGACUGUGUUAGGUGGUUCAGGUACCUACAGGUAGCUCCUCUCUCCACUGUCCAGCACAGAUUACAUAGGGGCAUAGGGAUGUCAGCACAGUGUUGGGACUAAUGAGGUGCCCACAGCAGAUGCUGUAGCAUCCAGAAGGCACCCAGCAGCAACCAGUGGACUCCAAGAGCUUUAUAGAAUUGUAUCAUGGAGUCAUAGAAUGGCUUGGGUUGGAAGGGACCUCAGGGAUCAUCAGGUUCCAACCCCCCCACCACAGGCAGGGCUGCCAGCCACUGGGUCAAGCACUAGAUCAGACUGCCCAAGGCCCCAUCCAACCUGGCCUUAAACACCCCCAGGAUCAGGACAUCCACAGCCUCUCUGCUGAGUAGUGUUGGCUGAGGGCUUUGAAACUGCACUGAAGGGAUUUGAAACGUCAGUGGCUGCAAGCUGUCGACACCAGGCAGAGGAUUUUACUCUGUUUGCCACCCCUCCUCCUGCCCCACACACUUUCGUGGAGUGGAAACGUAUGCUUCUGGCACUCACCUGAGCAGCAGCAGCAGCCCCUGCUGUCAUUUUCCUUGCAGACAGGAACACUAUGCAAUUUAAAGAGCUGGCAGUUUGAGUCUUUACUGCAAAGACCAAAGUGACUGGUAAUCAGACCUGAGCAUUAUUCAAGCAUUAUUACUACAGUGUAUCUCCUGACAAAAUUCCCCCCAGGGUUUUUCAGGUACUGACAAGGCCCUGCAGACAUGGUAUGAGCAGCAGCUAGUUCAUGUGUAAGUCCCUGUAGCAAUCUGCAUCUGCUUCCUGAGAGCUUUCAGAUAUUGUACAUAUACAUUUACAAACCAGGAUGCUGUUUUCUGUGGAUUGAGUCUUUCUAAAAAGGGCUGGGAGAAGAGAUGUCAUUUCUGCAGCACUGCGAGCCUGUUUGGACCCACACACACCCACCCCAUGCUCUGCCCUGGGCAAUGAUACAUACAGCCCAUCUAUUUAUUUUCUGCUGGUUGUUUUGUCAUUGUGACUGAAUUAAUUUAAAUACAAAGUGGAAGAAUACAGACAGGUGGCAUCUAGGGGACAGUGAAUGGAUUGAAGAGCAAGGAAUGACUAUUCUCAAGUGCUCUUGGAUGGUACUGAUUAAAGGUUAAAUCUUAAACUUGGCACCAGCAUCCAUCUGUGACACAGGAGGACAAGGGCAAUUCUCUGACCUGAAUCUGACAGGAGAUGGAUUGGAAUUGGAGUCUUAAAGCUCCUGGAAAGAACAGUGAACUGUUGCUCCUAUAGUCAGACCUUUUCUUGACCAAACAUUAGAGCCCUAUUAACUGCUGGCGUCGGGGUAUUGUAGGUGCAGAGGUGUGAGAGGCGUGAUGCUGGGGUACUGGCCACUACUGAAAGGUUCUGUUUGAAAGGAUAGAUCUUGUCCUUGAAUCUGGGGGCUCUUACUUUUGUCAAACUACUGCAUUUCUGCUAAUGAUAUGAGGUAGGGAUUCUCCCAACUCCCUGCUGUAAUCCAGUGCUGAUGUCUGAAAAGAAGGCUUGAAACAAAGCCUCUCUAUCAGUACAUCCUGGCACCCUGCAAACCCAUUCAGCAGGGGCAGAGCUGGAUAGGUCCCAUGGAACCUCCCAAGCUCCAGCUCACGUUGAACUCUGGGGAUCUGUAGGUUCUCCAGCUCUAUCGGAGUUGUUUUUGUCUCUGUUCAUCAUUUUAAAAGCUGGAUGUGGGAGACAGCUGGCUCAAAUUCCACACCCUCCCACAAUGGUAGAAUUUUGAUGCCUCAGUGUCAACAGUUGGCAAGUCCAAACUGCAGCGAGGAUAGUGAGAAGUAGUGAGAAAGUUGAGCCCAUCGUGCUGAGAAAGUCUUCAUUCCCCUGCUGGAGUGAUGUGUAAACGAAUAGCUAGAAAUAUUCUAUUCCAGGCCUCAUAAAGCUAUGGAUGUGACUGUAAUAUAAAUCAGAAUUUUCAGGCAAUACCAAAGCGUGGGACAUUUGCUAAUCUGAAGAACCUUUAAAUACCAACAGCACAGCAGACUGGGUAUAUAUAUCCUUCAUAUUCUCCGUCAUUCAAACUACAAAUAUUCAAGAGAUGUUCAGCAAAUAUUUGCUCCUGGUUUCAAAUAAACUUUGGUUUAUCCUGGUA
Molecule: long non-coding RNA, 7511 nt
Organism: Gallus gallus (chicken)
Lineage: Eukaryota; Metazoa; Chordata; Aves; Galliformes; Phasianidae
Exons: 8
Source: RefSeq, a predicted model, not a curated record